ACGGAAGGCAGCAGUGGGGAAUAUUGCACAAUGGGCGAAAGCCUGAUGCAGCGACGCCGCGUGAGUGAAGAAGUAUCUCGGUAUGUAAAGCUCUAUCAGCAGGGAAGAAAAUGACGGUACCUGACUAAGAAGCCCCGGCUAACUACGUGCCAGCAGCCGCGGUAAUACGUAGGGGGCAAGCGUUAUCCGGAUUUACUGGGUGUAAAGGGAGCGUAGACGGUUUGGCAAGUCUGAAGUGAAAUGCGGGGGCCCAACUCCUGAACUGCUUUGGAAACUGUCGAACUAGAGUGCAGGAGAGGUAAGUGGAAUUCCUAGUGUAGCGGUGAAAUGCGUAGAUAUUAGGAGGAACACCAGUGGCGAAGGCGGCUUACUGGACUGUAACUGACGUUGAGGCUCGAAAGCGUGGGGAGCAAACAGGAUUAGAUACCCUGGUA
RNAcentral lists this ribosomal RNA (434 nucleotides) under uncultured Clostridium sp. Its description in RNAcentral is "partial 16S ribosomal RNA". It matches the Rfam family "Bacterial small subunit ribosomal RNA", at positions 341 to 792 of the family's 1533-position model. RNAcentral also lists the same sequence under 1 other name. The record is from RNAcentral. Lineage: Bacteria; Bacillati; Bacillota; Clostridia; Eubacteriales; Clostridiaceae.